Molecule: ribosomal RNA, 501 nt
Filed under: uncultured bacterium
Lineage: Bacteria
Description: partial 16S ribosomal RNA
Rfam family: Bacterial small subunit ribosomal RNA
Source: RNAcentral
AUUGAACGCUGGCGGCAGGCUUAACACAUGCAAGUCGAGCGGGGGAAGGUAGCUUGCUACCGGACCUAGUGGCGGACGGGUGAGUAAUGCUUAGGAAUCUGCCUAUUAGUGGGGGACAACAUCUCGAAAGGGAUGCUAAUACCGCAUACGUCCUACGGGAGAAAGCAGGGGAUCUUCGGACCUUGCGCUAAUAGAUGAGCCUAAGUCGGAUUAGCUAGUUGGUGGGGUAAAGGCCUACCAAGGCGACGAUCUGUAGUGGGUCUGAGAGGAUGAUCCGCCACACUGGGACUGAGACACGGCCCAGACUCCUACGGGAGGCAGCAGUGGGGAAUAUUGGACAAUGGGGGGAACCCUGAUCCAGCCAUGCCGCGUGUGUGAAGAAGGCCUUAUGGUUGUAAAGCACUUUAAGCGAGGAGGAGGCUACUCUAGUUAAUACCUAGGGAUAGUGGACGUUACUCGCAGAAUAAGCACCGGCUAACUCUGUGCCAGCAGCCGCAGUAA